UCGGGAAUUUUGGGCAAUGGGCGAAAGCCUGACCCAGCAACGCCGCGUGAAGGAUGAAGUAUUUCGGUAUGUAAACUUCGUAAGAAUAGGAAGAAUAAAUGACGGUACUAUUUGUAAGGUCCGGCUAACUACGUGCCAGCAGCCGCGGUAAUACGUAGGGACCAAGCGUUGUUCGGAUUUACUGGGCGUAAAGGGCGCGUAGGCGGUUUGUCAAGUCAGUUGUGAAAUCUCCGAGCUUAACUCGGAACGGUCAACUGAUACUGUCAAACUAGAGUACAGAAGGGGCAAUCGGAAUUCUUGGUGUAGCGGUGAAAUGCGUAGAUAUCAAGAGGAACACCUGAGGCGAAGGCGGGUUGCUGGGCUGAUACUGACGCUGAAGCGCGAAAGCUAGGGUAGCAAACGGGAUU
RNAcentral lists this ribosomal RNA (407 nucleotides) under uncultured bacterium. RNAcentral's name for it is "bacterial SSU rRNA". It matches the Rfam family "Bacterial small subunit ribosomal RNA", at positions 355 to 779 of the family's 1533-position model. The record is from RNAcentral.